This 578-nucleotide small RNA is filed under the name Pongo abelii (Sumatran orangutan). RNAcentral's name for it is "processed transcript". Lineage: Eukaryota; Metazoa; Chordata; Mammalia; Primates; Hominidae. The record is from RNAcentral.
UUUUCCUAAUCAGGGUUCUGCAUCGCCUCGAACCCGCAGGCCAUGGCGGGGUCUCCUGAGGAAGCAGGGGCUGGGGUGCAGGGUGAAGCUGCUCGUGCCGGCCAGCGCCUUGAAAGGCAAAGAACAAGAGAAGACCUCAGAUGUCAAGUCCAUUAAAGCUUCAAUAUCCGUACAUUCCCCACAAAAAAGCACUAAAAAUCAUGCCUUGCUGGAGGCUGCAGGACCAAGUCAUGUUGCAAUCAAUGCCAUUUCUGCCAACAUGGACUCCUUUUCAAGUAGCAGGACAGCCACACUUAAGAAGCAGCCAAGCCACAUGGAGGCCGCUCAUUUUGGUGACCUGGGCAGAUCUUGUCUGGACUACCAGACUCAAGAGACCAAAUCAAGCCUUUCUAAGACCCUUGAACAAGUCUUGCACGACACUGUUGUCCUCCCUUACUUCAUUCAAUUCAUGGAACUUCGGCGAAUGGAGCAUUUGGUAAAAUUUUGGUUAGAGGCUGAAAGUUUUCAUUCCACAACUUGGUCACGAAUAAGAGCACACAGUCUAAACACAGUGAAGCAGAGCUCACUGGCUGAGCCUG